Vitis riparia (riverbank grape) is the source of this 4392-nucleotide long non-coding RNA. RefSeq lists it as uncharacterized. NCBI's taxonomy places the organism in Eukaryota, Viridiplantae, Streptophyta, Magnoliopsida, Vitales, Vitaceae. The transcript is spliced from 2 exons. The record is from RefSeq and is a predicted model, not a curated record.
AAAAGAAAAAGGAAUUGAAGGAGGACACGCAUUGGAAAAAAGGAGCAUUUUUUUUUUGGGAGAUUCUGAGAAUUUUUGGGGAGGAAAAGCACAAAGGAAUGGGAGAAGGGAGCAAUUGUAACCAAGGCUGCCCAGGUAUGCUUCUCGUCAUUCUUAGAAUCAUUACCCAUAUUCGAUUUCUCCGUGCAUUUGUCUCUGAAUAUUUAAUAUAUUGUUGAUUGGUGUGGACGAAAAGGGCCACAAAUUGAUUUGUUGAGAUUGGUUAUUCACUUGUUUGCCCUGUUUUCGAUUCUGAUUCUCUUAUGUGUCAUUGAUGUCGUUCGAAAUUCAUGACUCCAUGCCUGAAUGUGAUCAUGUUCGUUUUUUUUGUUUAAAUCCUAUUCUGCUCUAUUCCCACUAUUAUCAGCCCAUGGAUUAAAAUUUGAAGUGGGGGGCUACUUAUGUCUACUAACCAAUAUCUCCUAUUCUCUUCCUCCUCCGAGUUUUGCUGUGUUUUAUCUUACUUGUUCAAUAUCCCUUUCUCCGCACGGUGUUCGAAUCCUUGCCUUUGUAUUUGGGUUGCAUUGGAGGAUGGUGGAAGAGUCGAUAUGAGAGGUGAGCUUAAUGGUGUCAAGUCUUCCGACGAAUUUGGGAAUGAUAGCAAAUAUGGCAGAGGAGUUUUGCACCUGUGGAUCACAGAAUCAGAGAUCAAAUUUGAAAAGAAAACAGAGGAGGACGAUUGGACGGGAGAAUCAGUGACGAGCAAUGUGUCUAGCUUCGUAUUCUCUGCAUGAAAGUUUCAAUUCGUCUGUAUAUGGUGUUGUUCUGAAAUAUGCGUUCAAGCAGGAAGUGAUUUAGUUUUCAUGUGGCAAGAUUGGAUGGCCUGGCUGCUUGCUACUGGAUGUUUUUCUUCAAUUCGUGAGCAAGGUUUGGCGUGUCAAAUUAUAACAGUCAGUGCAUAUGUUGAGGUGGGAAGCUUUACUUUUGUUCAGGAGCUGUUUGAUAAAAUACCCCACAAGUUACAGCAUAUAACUUGAAUGUACUAAAGUCCUCUGCCUGCGAAUUUUUGUCAGUUUUAUCUGGGAACUUCUUGAAAUCUGCACAGAAUGGUGAUAAUUUGUGCAUUACAGAAUUUUGUGAUGUGCAAUAGAAUUAUUAAUCGAGCUGUGAAUGUGACCCCUGAUGAUUGACUGUCACAUGGACUAGCCCAGCAGUUUGUUUCCUUUGAUAACUUGAUCCAGCUGGCUGAGACUCAGAUACAAACUCCAUCUUCCCAAGGAGUCUUUGAAGGUUUAUUGCUUUGUCCUAGAUUAUGGAGAAGAGGAUAUUGAGUGAGGACGCUGCCAUAGUUGGGAUUGAGAUUGGUUUUCAUUACAAUCCAUCCCAUGAAAUGAAUGCUCUGAUACAGGCUGCAAAAUUGAGAAGACCAAUUUCCGAUGUUGAUUUUGAAGAUGGACAGAGAAAGGAACCAAUUUCUUUAAGGAAUAUUUUCUGUGUCUCUUGGGUUCGAAGGUAGUGAUUUAUGUUGCACAUCAAGUAGAGUUCUUAUCUUUGCUGAUUUCAUACUGGUCAUAAAAGAUGUGGUCUCUUGUUCAGAGCAAGAACCCAUGUUAUCCUUUGCUUCAGAAUUACCAGAUCAUGUGGGCUUUCAAGAGAAUCAAAUUGUGCCAAUAUCGAAAAUUCCAGCUGCUACUUUGUGCCUCGGAAAUCAGCCUGCAAGGUGGUGAUCAUCAUAGCUGUGUCAACCAUGCUAAAAAUGCUUAUUAGCAUAAAUACCGAGGACAUCCCACCAAACUGCUUUGAUCAAUUCAAUGUAGAAAUGAAUGAGAAACAUAAUGUGAAUUUUCUGUAGCUUGAUGGUCUAGUGCAGGGAAGAAAGUUGUUUCUUGCCAGUUUGUAGCUUAUCAAACGAAUCCUUCUCAAGUACUUUUGACCGUUUCCUCCUAAGACCGAGGUUCCAGGCGUGCCCUGUUCGCGAAGUUACUUCUCAAGCAUUCAGUCUCAUAUGGAUUAAAAGGAGAAAUAAUUGUCGUAUUCUUGCUCCAUCGCUUGGAACGAGUUGCUCGCUGUACUGGUGCACCAAUUCAGAACAAGCUGGCUGAGCUGUGGUCUUUGUUCGAUCUUGUCUUCCCUGGGAAGUUGGAAGUGUUGCUUGUAUUUGAAGCAGAAUUUGCAAUUCCCAUAUAUGCUGAUGGCUAUGCCAAUACUUCUCCAUUCCGAGCAUCCAUUGCCUAUAGGUGUGCAGUAGUCUUACGUGAAAGCUGAUGUGAAUCCUCAGCUUCCAAACAAGACUGAACAUGUCCUAUUUUGCAGCCACUUAUCUUGAUUUGAGGUGUUGAAGUGUCCUUAAUUCAAGCACUUCAAGCAUAAUGUUCUCAACUAUUCACUAUUAGCGGAAUGCUAAAUGAAAUCACUGCAAUUGAGAGGGAGCAGAACAUUCUGAUCUCUUCUCUUCUUUUUUUUAGUAUUGAAGUGUUGCUGGAAGAUUCACUCAUUUGGAUCACGAAUAUCCAACUCUUGGAAUCUUCAAGGUGGAUCAAAGAAGAAGAAUGCUGGAAAAAUGGAUUACAACUUCAUUUUAUGAACUCCAAUUUCAGAAACAUGGUUAUGGAUGUCAAUCCGAUUCCAUUUAUGGUGUUCGUCCUGAGAGCAGUUUGGGGUAUUUAUUCAUGGUGUCAGGAAUGUUAUACGUACACAUCGGCGUGAAGGCUCUGAAAUUAUAGGCAGCUUAGAAGGGAUUUAUACUUGAACAGAAUAUUUGGCGGAACACGAAUCAGCCGCUGGAGACCCCCUGCCAUUGGAGUCAUUAUUAAGAAAGAUGAAAAAUAGUGAUCCUAAUAUUCUCCUUGCCACAAUAUGAUUGGAUUCCCAUAAUCUCGUUUUGCCAUCAAUAAAGUGCUCUUACAGUUAACAAGGCUCAUGUUUCACUUGUGGUUCCUAUUAAUACCAUAGAAAAUGGUCCAAUUGACAGACACGGUUCUCCAAAGCAGGUAUUUCGCUUCAAAAUAGCACCAUAUGCCACCACCUAGUAAUGAACAGUUCGUCACUUCAUCAGUAAUGUUUGAAAAGCUUGCAUCAGAGUCAAGACAUCCACCGUACAGAUUACCAGAUGACUAGUACAAAUUGAGGAACUAAAUGUAAAAAGGAACAACCCAUCUUAAAGAGAUGGCUUCCUAGGGUGGAGAACCUUCUGCAUAUGUGCUUGGGAUCCCUAGUUGUUUCAAAUCACUUCCAGGUUAUGACUUCAACGUGAAUGGUGAUAACUCUGUCCAGCUUCUUGUUGCUGCACAUGCUGUUAAUAAUGGUCAAGCCAUUAUUAUGGCUCUUUUGGAGGAGCAUUUCGUACCUCAAUUAUGCAGUAUUGCUCCAGCAAAUGCUCAUGCACGAAAACAGUUGCCUUCUCCGGAAUUACUUUCUCUACUCUCUGACAACUCUUACCAUCACAUGAUUGUGUCAACUGACGAUAUCCUGGCUGCUUCAAUUGCUAAAUUCUGCUGUUCAGUCAUCUCUGCACCAUAAGAAGACUGAAAACUAGGAGUGAUCUAGCCAUUAUCUGGGUCAUGUCAAACUUCUCCGCUAAUUGAUGGACCAGGCAACUAGAAGCUCAAUCUUGUCACAAGGAAGCCAUGCUCUGGCCUUCCAGCAGCUUGCCCUUCCUGCUUACUUAUUACAUCUAUCUCAGAUUCGCUCAAAUUUCCUUUGAUCUGAGUUUCAAUUGCAUUCAUCCUGAUUCAAAUCAAGUUUCCCUUCAUUGAGUCUGGUGCCUAUUCGGUUCCUAUAUUUGAAGAGAUUGCAGUUUACUGAUUGAAUUUCUCAUAAAUCAGCAGCAUGGUACAGGAGGGUUGUGCAAUUGACAUAAGCAUGCAUAUUCCUCUAGUAGAUACUAUGCUUGCACUUUAAGGAUGCCCAGUUUCUAAGGAUAUAUUCAGAGCCCUCUCCUACUUCUCUCUUACUGGAAGAAGAUCUAGAGUAGCUCAAAGUCCUUGUGAACGAGUAAAAGAUAGAGGCUGCUUAGAGUUGAUCGACGAACUCAUCGACACCAUGUUCAGACCAAAGAUACAGUCUAGGGAUACAGUUUUCAGGCGCCGGCUAUUCAAGUCAAUGGCAAUAAAGAUUCGCUGGAAUGGUCCCUGAAUUUGUAAAGCUUGGUGCCUGCUUCUUAUUUUCUAGUGUCUCAUGUUCACAAAAUAAUAGAACACUCUGACUACACUUGAAGGGACAUCCUCAAGGUUCAGAAUGUACGCAAGUCCAAUAACAAAAGAGGAAACACGCCAUGUUCUGUAGAGUAUAGACGCUAAGAGUUUGGCGUUAAAGAAGGUCAACACAAUGGUAAUCCUGAUCAGUUGGAGAGAAAAUUCAGCUACAGCAGCUUCAAGAACCACUCUGGCAGCAAGGAUGAUAUCAUAUUUUCAU